This 460-nucleotide ribosomal RNA is filed under the name uncultured bacterium. RNAcentral's name for it is "partial 16S ribosomal RNA". It matches the Rfam family "Bacterial small subunit ribosomal RNA", at positions 355 to 802 of the family's 1533-position model. The record is from RNAcentral.
UGGGGAAUUUUGGACAAUGGGGGCAACCCUGAUCCAGCAAUGCCGCGUGUGUGAAGAAGGCCUUCGGGUUGUAAAGCACUUUUGUCCGGAAAGAAAACGCCGUGGUUAAUACCCGUGGCGGAUGACGGUACCGGAAGAAUAAGCACCGGCUAACUACGUGCCAGCAGCCGCGGUAAUACGUAGGGUGCAAGCGUUAAUCGGAAUUACUGGGCGUAAAGCGUGCGCAGGCGGUCCGCUAAGACAGAUGUGAAAUCCCCGGGCUUAACCUGGGAACUGCAUUUGUGACUGGCGGGCUAGAGUAUGGCAGAGGGGGGUAGAAUUCCACGUGUAGCAGUGAAAUGCGUAGAGAUGUGGAGGAAUACCGAUGGCGAAGGCAGCCCCCUGGGCCAAUACUGACGCUCGAAUGCACGAAAAGCGUGGGGAGCAAACAGGAAUUCGAUACCCUGGGAUAUCCACGCCC